Molecule: ribosomal RNA, 3020 nt
Filed under: Thermoproteus sp. JCHS_4
Lineage: Archaea; Thermoproteati; Thermoproteota; Thermoprotei; Thermoproteales; Thermoproteaceae
Description: bacterial LSU rRNA
Rfam family: Archaeal large subunit ribosomal RNA (bases 1-2310)
Source: RNAcentral
GCCAAGCCGUCCGGUGGAUGGCUCGGCUCGGGCGCCGAGGAAGGGCGUGGCAAGCUGCGAUAAGCCCGGGGUAGCCGCAGGCGGGCGUUGAACCCGGGAUCCCCGAAUGGGGCUUCCUGCCGGGGCCGAAUAGGCCCCGGCGCCCCGUAGGGGGCGGGAACGCGGGGAAAGGAAACAUCUUAGUACCCGCAGGAAGAGAAACCAACAGGGAACCCCUGAGUAGGGGCGACCGAAAGGGGGAGAGCCCAAACCAAAUCCCUUCGGGAAGACCGAGGGGAGAUGUGGUGUUGUGGGCUCGGGUACCGCCGGCGGGCGGUAGCCGAAGUGGGCUGGAAAGCCCCGCCGUAGAGGGUGAUAGCCCCGUAGGCGAAACCGUCCGUGGCGGAGUCCCGGGAUCCCGGAGUACCUCGCCUUGGUUUUGGCGGGGGAAGCCGGCGGCCACUGGCCGCCAAGGCUAAGCACGUCCCGAGUCCGAUAGCGAACUAGUACCGUGAGGGAAAGCUGAAAAGAACCCCGGAAGGGGGGUGAAAAGAGCCUGAAACCGGACGGCUACAGUGGGGCGGGCCUCGAAGGAAGCCCCCUCCCGAAGGAAACCCCGGUGACGGGGGAGUACGAGGGAGAGGGUCCAGGGUCCGCCCUUACGUCUAGAAACACGGGCCGGGGAGUUCACGGCCGUGGCGAGCCUAAGGGGUCAAACCCCGGAGGCGUAGGGAAACCGACAGCCCGUAGCGGGGCAACCCGCGAGGGGCGGGGUCUGAAAGGGCCCGUAGUCACGGCCGUGAGACCAGAAACCGGGCGAUCUAGCCCUGGGCAGGGCGAAGCGGGGCGAAAGCCCCGUGGAGGCCCGAAAGGGUUCUGACGUGCAAAUCGUUCCCAUGACCUGGGGCUAGGGGCAAAAGACCAACCAAGCCCGGUGAUAGCUGGUUCCCCCCGAAGCGGGUCCCAGCCCGGCCUCCCCGGAGGCCGCCGGCGGGGUAGAGCACUGAUCGGGGGUGCAGGAGCCGAAAGGGUCCGGUCCCCGGUCAAACUCCGAACCUGUCGGCGCCGUAGAAGGGGGGAGGCGGGGCCGGUGGGGUAAGCCUCUGGCCCGAGACGGGAACAACCGGGACCGGGGUUAAGGCCCCAAAGUGCGGGCUAAGUGUCAACGUGCAAGGGCGUCCCUCGCCCAAGACAGCGGGACCGUGGGCCUAACAGCAGCCAUCGGCCAAGCAACGCGUAACAGCGGACCCGCCGAGGCGAGGGGCCCCGUAGAUGUAGAGGGACUCAAGCCCGCCGCCGAGACCCCGGGCCUCCGGCCGUUGGCCGGAGUGCGGUAGGGGGGCGCGGCCGUGGGGCAGAAGCCGGGCCGAGAGGUCCGGUGGACCCGCGGUCGACGAAGAUCCCGGCGGUAGUAGCAGCUAAGAGGGGUGAGAAGCCCCUCCGCCGGAAAGGACAAGGUUUUCCCGGCAACUUCAAUAGGCCGGGAGUAAGCCGGUCCUAAGGCGGGGCCUAGUAGGCACCCGCCGAAAGGGAAACGGGUUAAUAUUCCCGUGCCGCGGGGGUAGGUUCUGCGGCAACGCAGGCCCCGUCCCCGACGCCUCGGGAUAGGGCGGGCGGGACCGCCGUCCCGUUUAACCGUCGAAGGCCGGGGAGUGCCGUAACGGCGAGAACCGGCUGAAGGCGGGAAUAGCCGGGGGUUUCCCCGGUCCGCCCGACUCCUGGGGCCCGUGAAAAGGGGACGGGGAACGAGCCCCCGCGCCCGUACCGAGAACCGACGCAGGUGCUCCUGGGUGAGAAGCCCAAGGCGGCUCGGGUUAUCCCAGGCCAGGGAACUCGGCAAAUUAGCCCCGUAACUUCGGGAGAAGGGGUGCCUGCGGUCUUGGGGAACACCCCCGGGACCGCAGGUCGCAGUGACAAGGGGGACCUGACUGUUUAACAAAAACAUAGGUCCCCGCGAGCCCGUAAGGGUGUGUACGGGGGCUGAAUCCUGGCCACUGGCGGUACGUGAACCCCGGGUACAACCGGGCGAAGCGCCGCUGAAGGCCGGGGGUAACUCUGACCCUCUUAACGGGGGCGUUCCCCGCACGAAUGUAGAAGAGUUAAAUACUGAGGCGGCCUCCCUCCUCUAUGGAGUUGGGUUGCGUUGGUGGCGAUAUUGCCAUAGGGUAUGUCGUCGGCUUUAUCGACGCAGAGGCCAGCUUCUCGGUGUCGAUAAAGUAUCAGCGGGGAUACGGCCUGAGGCUAGAUCCCGUCUUCAGCAUUACGCAGUUAAACAGAGAGCCGCUUGAUGUGAUACACGGCGUAAUAAAUACAGGAAGAAUCAUCAAGAAACCAGGACAGAAACACCUACACCUCUACAUCGUCGGCAACAUCAAAGAAUUAACAGGACGCCUAAUACCAUUUCUAGACAAAUACCGACACCUCCUAUACUCAAAAGGCAAGGCCUAUGACCUAUUUAGAGAAAUCGUCACCUCACUCUCUAAAGGGAAACACAAAGAAAAAGAAGAAAUGCAGAGACUCGUGGCACUAGCAUACGAACUUUCACACAUAAACCCCAAGUCACGAAGAAAAAGAACACUCGAAGAAGUACUAAAACUCCUANNNNNNNNNNNNNNNNNNNNAAUCCUGGCCACUGGCGGUACGUGAACCCCGGGUACAACCGGGCGAAGCGCCGCUGAAGGCCGGGGGUAAACUCGGCCGUCCGCAGGCCGCAAGCUUUUAACCUAGGCGCCAUCCAGAGACGUGGAGUGCGACGGAGACGAGGCGUUUGCCUACCUCAUCGGCGCCUUGGGUGACGGCACUCUUUAUACGACAAACGAUGGCCAUUACGUUGUGGAGUACGGCCAGAAAGACGCGAGGUGGCUCAAAGUUAUAGAGCAGAAGGCCGGCUGUUUAGGCUACGCAGCACAUAUAGUUAGGCACAAGUCCCGCUACUGGAAGGCCCAAGAUAUACAGCAAAGAGCUAUACAGCUCUGUUGGAGGUUAAGUCCCGGUUGCGCGACGUGGUAAGCGCGCUUGAUACAAGGCUUUUUGUAGCGUAU